Molecule: ribosomal RNA, 399 nt
Filed under: uncultured bacterium
Lineage: Bacteria
Description: bacterial SSU rRNA
Rfam family: Bacterial small subunit ribosomal RNA
Source: RNAcentral
AUUGAACGCUGGCGGCAGGCCUAACACAUGCAAGUCGAGCGGAUGAAAGGGGCUUGCUCCUGGAUUCAGCGGCGGACGGGUGAGUAAUGCGCAGGAAUCUACCUCGUAGUGGGGGAUAACGUCUCGAAAGGGGCGCUAAUACCGCAUACGUUCUGAGGAAGAAAGCAGGGGACCUUCGGGCCUUGCGCUAUGAGAUGAGCUUGCGUCCGAUUAGCUAGUUGGUGGGGUAAAGGCCUACCAAGGCGACGAUCGGUAACUGGUCUGAGAGGAUGAUCAGUCACACUGGAACUGAGACACGGUCCAGACUCCUACGGGAGGCAGCAGUGGGGAAUUUUGGACAAUGGGCGAAAGCCUGAUCCAGCCAUGCCGCGUGCGGGAAGAAGGCCUCGGUUGUAACCG